CCUACGGGCGGCAGCAGUAGGGAAUCUUCCACAAUGGGCGAAAGCCUGAUGGAGCAACGCCGCGUGGGUGAAGAAGGUCUUCGGAUCGUAAAACCCUGUUGUUAGAGAAGAAAGUGCGGGAGAGUAACUGUUCACGUGUCGACGGUAUCAAACCAGAAAGCCACGGCUAACUACGUGCCAGCAGCCGCGGUAAUACGUAGGUGGCAAGCGUUAUCCGGAUUGAUUGGGCGUAAAGGGAACGCAGGCGGUCUUUUAAGUCUGAUGUGAAAGCCUUCGGCUUAACCGGAGUAGUGCAUUGGAAACUGGGGGACUUGAGUGCAGAUGCGGCUAGUGGACCUCCAUGUGUAGCGGU
This 352-nucleotide ribosomal RNA is filed under the name uncultured bacterium. RNAcentral describes it as "partial 16S ribosomal RNA". It matches the Rfam family "Bacterial small subunit ribosomal RNA", at positions 338 to 682 of the family's 1533-position model. The record is from RNAcentral.